RNAcentral lists this unclassified non-coding RNA (334 nucleotides) under soil metagenome. Its description in RNAcentral is "partial contains 5.8S ribosomal RNA, internal transcribed spacer 2, and large subunit ribosomal RNA". The stretch from base 1 to 120 matches the Rfam family "5.8S ribosomal RNA", at positions 35 to 154 of the family's 154-position model. The record is from RNAcentral.
GAUGAAGAACGUAGCGAAAUGCGAUAAGUAAUGCGAAUUGCAGAAUUCCGUGAGUCAUCGAAUCUUUGAACGCACAUUGCGCCCUCUGGUAUUCCGGAGGGCAUGCCUGUUCGAGCGUCAUUUCAACCAUCAAGCCCCAGGCUUGUGUUGGAGCCCUGCGGCUGCCGCAGCCUCCCAAAACCAGUGGCGGGCUCGCUAUCACACCGAGUGCAGUAGUUUACUCUUCGCUCAGGGCGUGUGGCGGGUGCUAGCCGUAAAACCCCCAACUUCUCAAGGUUGACCUCGGAUCAGGUAGGAAUACCCGCUGAACUUAAGCAUAUCAAUAAGCGGAGGA